GACGAACGCUGGCGGCGUGCUUAACACAUGCAAGUCGAACGGUAAGGACCUGUUUUUGUGGGGUGCUCGAGUGGCGAACGGGGGAGUAACACGUGAGUAACCUGUGCUUGACUUUGGGAUAACUCCAGGAAACUGGAGUUAAAAUCGGACAGGAGCACCUGAUGCAUGGGGGGGGUGGGAAAGAUUCGCCGGUUGGUGAUGUAAUCGUGGUUCAUCAUUGUGUUGGUGGGGUAGUGGGUUACCAAGGCACGGACGGGUAGCUGACUAGGCAGGGUGACCGGCCACAUUGGGACCGGGAGGCGGCCCAGACGCCUCCGGGGGGAAGGAGGGGAGACUAUUGCACAAAGGGCGGAAGCCUGAAGCAGCAACGCGGCGUGCGGGAUGACGGCCUUAGGGUAGUAAGCUGCUUUGGCUUGUGACGAAGCGUGAGUGAGGGUAAUGGGGAAAGAAGCACCGGCUACUUACGG
This 467-nucleotide ribosomal RNA is filed under the name uncultured bacterium. Its description in RNAcentral is "partial 16S ribosomal RNA". It matches the Rfam family "Bacterial small subunit ribosomal RNA", at positions 28 to 506 of the family's 1533-position model. The record is from RNAcentral.